UCUUGCCUACGGGACGCAGCAGUGAGGAAUAUUGGUCAAUGGUCGGGAGACUGAACCAGCCAAGCCGCGUGAGGGAUGAAGGUACAGAGUAUCGUAAACCUCUUUUGUCAGGGAACAAAGGCGGGGACGUGUCCCCGGAUGAGUGUACCUGAAGAAAAAGCAUCGGCUAACCCCGUGCCAGCAGCCGCGGUAAUACGGAGGAUGCGAGCGUUAUCCGGAUUUAUUGGGUCUAAAGGGUGCGCAGGCGGUCUGUUAAGUCAGCGGUCAAAGCCCGGGGCUCAACCCCGGCCCGCCGCUGAAACUGG
RNAcentral lists this ribosomal RNA (305 nucleotides) under uncultured bacterium. RNAcentral describes it as "bacterial SSU rRNA". It matches the Rfam family "Bacterial small subunit ribosomal RNA", at positions 333 to 636 of the family's 1533-position model. The record is from RNAcentral.